RNAcentral lists this ribosomal RNA (432 nucleotides) under uncultured bacterium. RNAcentral's name for it is "partial 16S ribosomal RNA". It matches the Rfam family "Bacterial small subunit ribosomal RNA", at positions 29 to 507 of the family's 1533-position model. The record is from RNAcentral.
ACGAACGCUGGCGGCAUGCCUCACCCAUGCCAGUCGCACGAGACCUUCGGGUCUAGUGGCGCACGGGUGCGUAACGCGUGGGAACCUGCCCUUAGGUUCGGAAUAACUCCCCGAAAGGGGUGCUAAUACCGGAUAAUGUCUUCGGACCAAAGAUUUAUCGCCUUUGGAUGGGCCCGCGUUGGAUUAGCUAGUUGGUAGGGUAAAAGCCUACCAAGGCGACGAUCCAUAGCUGGUCUGAGAGGAUGAUCAGCCACACUGGGACUGAGACACGGCCCAGACUCCUACGGGAGGCAGCAGUGGGGAAUAUUGGACAAUGGGCGAAAGCCUGAUCCAGCAAUGCCGCGUGAGUGAUGAAGGCCUUAGGGUUGUAAAGCUCUUUUACCCGGGAUGAUAAUGACAGUACCGGGAGAAUAAGCUCCGGCUAACUCCGUG